GAUCAAGUCAUAUUGGUUCAGCACCUGUUUCUUCAAGGUUUUCAUUGAUCCCACUUCUUAACUGCAUUAGGCUGCUUUAUCAAGUCCACCUUUCUAAUGCCAAGAAAUCAUCUGCCACAACUGAAAUCAAACACAAGUUGGAUAAUGACAGCGGCAAGGACAUUUUUAAGUUGGGGAGAAAAGAUCUUCUUCCGAAAGUGAAGGGAACCAAAACAAAACAAUAAUUGGUGUUGUAUAUUGACCGAUGAGAGCGUGAAAAGAGAGACCGGAUUGAUGCAAACGUUGUCGUAUUGUUGCAGAGUACACCACUAUAGUGUUGCUAACAAUGGCAAACUUCAGGGGUUUAAUUUUGAUUAUUAAGACUGGGAGAUGAAGGUGAUUAUGCAUAUACCAUUACUGUGAGAUUCGCCGAUUAGCAAUGGAAGUUUGUUACCUGGUGUCGACAGGACAAAUCACUUCUUUGAAUGGAGAUUCAACUCAUAUUGAUGAUGACCAUGAGUUGAAGUAGGGUCUUCAACAAUUUUGUAAGGCCAACCCAUAUUCACUUAGGUCGUUGGGAGGCUGUCAUGAAAUUCGGUUGGUCGGGUUUGGGUUUUUCAG
Molecule: long non-coding RNA, 600 nt
Filed under: Helianthus annuus (common sunflower)
Lineage: Eukaryota; Viridiplantae; Streptophyta; Magnoliopsida; Asterales; Asteraceae
Source: RNAcentral